AAAGACAAAGUGUAUUUAUUUGAAACAAAUGAGUUUUGAGCGCAGAAGUUGCAGUUUCAGUGGAUUUCAUCCUCUACCAACCAAUUCACAAUUUUUUAUUCUAUGUUUUGUUGUUGAACCAGUCAGCAUACACAGAAGCACCAUGUGAAACAAUUAUUCUUUGAGACAGGUGUCGCCAUGGUGCAAGGCUCUCCAUUCCCCCAAGCUAAAUGGUUUCUGCUUCCCGUUGCAUUUAUCUGGGAGACCAAGCACACGGAUGUCGGCAGAGAAAAUAUCUGGCCAGCGGAGAUGUGUCCCGGGGAAGAAGGGUGGAGGUGGUGGAGAUGAAUGUGUCCCCAGUGAAGGAGGGUGGUUUAGUUUAGUUUAUUAGGAUCCCCAUUAGCUACUGCACAUGAAGUAGCUACUCUUCCUGGGGUCCACAUAAAAUGUACAAAUACGUGACAAAGUACAGAACAGUAAUAGACAAGAACAACAUAAGAUAUUACAUUAAAUUCCAACGAAAAUAAAUAAAUAAGAGUUGGGGGUGGUGGAGAUGAAUGUGUCCCUGGGGAAGGAGGGUGGAGGUGUGGGUGGUGGAGAUGCAUGUGUCCCUUGAGAAGGAGGGUGGAGGUGUGGGUGGUGGAGAUGAAUGUGUCCCUGGAUAAGGAGUGUGGAAGUGGGAGUGGUGGCAGGAAGAGAGCCAGAUAAUGAGGAUCUGUGUCUGAGGCCUUGUGUCUUGCCCUUCUCUUUCCACCUCUGAAUCAGAGACAGGGGACUCCAGACAGUUCCUCUCUCUUGACUGAUAGUAGUGUAACAACAGGGUUGGUGAGGGGAGUCUUGGUUAUGCAGCUCACACCUAGUCAAGGUGCAGUCUGUCUGCCUCACACUGAGAGAGGGAAGAAUUAGUAGAGCAGUCUUCACUGAGCAGCGCGCAGUUGGAAUGUUCAAACAGCUACAAUUUUUUGACGAAUUGAAAACUAGUUGUGGAUAUAGCAUACAAAUUGUUAGAAUACGUAACUUUAAAGUAUUUAUUUUAUAAUCUAUAAAUGGAUGAACAACAUAAAAAAAGAAUUGGUACAUGAUAUGCUAUGACCAGAAACACCAAUAUCUCAAAAACCCUACUGAUUUUCACUGUCUCACCUUGAUAUGUUAUGUACAUAUUUCGUAUUCCACUUAGAAAGCCGGCCAUGUCUGUAUUAAGGCAUAAAGAAAACGAGUUAUUUAUACCACAUAGCAUAUCAUGCCGAAUAAAACCUUGAUUAGAUAGUUUUUUGUCUCUUUUUUCCUUAUUCCCUUGUUGUGCCAGACAGACUGCACAUCCAGAAUAACUUCAUCAGGAAGGAAGCGACUGGGAUCUAUCCUUGGGGCAGAAUGGAAAUGUAUUCAGGGGAUGGAUGUCUAAUAGAGCUGGCAAGGACACUUUUCCUUAUUAAGACAAAUAGGCCCCUGAAGGUGGAGAGAUGCUUUAAUAUAGGAGGAAGGGAAGAGGGGAGGGAAAGAGAGG
This is a long non-coding RNA of Oncorhynchus tshawytscha (Chinook salmon), 1483 nucleotides long. The record is from Ensembl. Lineage: Eukaryota; Metazoa; Chordata; Actinopteri; Salmoniformes; Salmonidae.